Molecule: ribosomal RNA, 253 nt
Filed under: uncultured bacterium
Lineage: Bacteria
Description: partial 16S ribosomal RNA
Rfam family: Bacterial small subunit ribosomal RNA
Source: RNAcentral
UACGUAGGGGGCAAGCGUUGUCCGGAAUCAUUGGGCGUAAAGCGCUCGCAGGCGGCUCGAUGCGUCGUGCGUGAAACACCCCGGCUCAACUGGGGAGGGUCGUGCGAUACGGUCGGGCUUGAGGCCAGUAGGGGGAUGCGGAAUUCCGGGUGUAGUGGUGGAAUGCGUAGAGAUCCGGAGGAACACCAGCGGCGAAGGCGGCAUCCUGGCGAGUGACUGACGCUGAGGUGCGAAAGCCAGGGGAGCGAACGGG